RNAcentral lists this transfer RNA (69 nucleotides) under Ictidomys tridecemlineatus (thirteen-lined ground squirrel). RNAcentral's name for it is "Spermophilus tridecemlineatus (thirteen-lined ground squirrel) tRNA". It matches the Rfam family "tRNA". Rfam says of the family: Transfer RNA (tRNA) molecules are approximately 80 nucleotides in length. Lineage: Eukaryota; Metazoa; Chordata; Mammalia; Rodentia; Sciuridae. The record is from Rfam by way of RNAcentral.
GGGGUUGUGGCUCAGUGGUAGAGUACUCACCUAGAACGUGCGAGGCCCUGGGUUCCAUCCUCAGCACCA